AGCAUACCAACCCACAACUCUUAUUCUUUGCAAUGAGUGUACCUGCAUUACCUACGCACCUUGGACAUAAAAACCCAAGGGCAGAGUAUAGGAUAUUUGAUACCCUCCUAACCUCAACAUCUGAGGAAAGGGAUUUAGGAGUUAUUAUUUCAGAUGACUUAAAGCUAGGAAGACAAUGUAAUAGAGCAGCAGGAAAUGCUAGCAGAAUGCCUGGUUGUAUAGGGAGAGGUAUUAGCAGUAGAAAGAGGGAAGUUCUCAUGCCACUGUACAGAACACUGGUGAGAUCUCACUUGGAGUAUUGUAUGCAGUACUGGAGACCGUAUCUCCAGAAGGAUAUUGAUACUUUAGAGAGAGUUCAGAGAAGGGUUACUAAGCUGGUUCGUGGAUUGCAGGAUAAAACCAGGAAAGGUUUAAGAAUCUUAACAUGUAUAGCUUGGAGGAAAG
Molecule: non-coding RNA, 444 nt
Organism: Pelobates cultripes (western spadefoot toad)
Lineage: Eukaryota; Metazoa; Chordata; Amphibia; Anura; Pelobatidae
Source: the annotation of a GenBank genome assembly